Molecule: ribosomal RNA, 460 nt
Filed under: uncultured bacterium
Lineage: Bacteria
Description: partial 16S ribosomal RNA
Rfam family: Bacterial small subunit ribosomal RNA
Source: RNAcentral
CCUACGGGAGGCUGCAGUGAGGAAUAUUGGUCAAUGGACGAGAGUCUGAACCAGCCAAGUAGCGUGAAGGAUGACUGCCCUAUGGGUUGUAAACUUCUUUUAUAUGGGAAUAAAAUGUUCCACGUGUGGGAUUUUGUAUGUACCAUAUGAAUAAGGAUCGGCUAACUCCGUGCCAGCAGCCGCGGUACUACGGAGGAUCCGAGCGUUAUCCGGAUUUAUUGGGUUUAACGGGAGCGUAGGUGGAUUGUUAAGUCAGUUGUGAAAGUUUGCGGCUCAACCGUAAAAUUGCAGUUGAAACUGGCAGUCUGGAGUACAGUAGAGGUGGGCAGAAGUCGUGGUGUAGCGGUGAAAUGCUUAGAUAUCACGAAGAACUCCGAUUGCGAAGGCAGCUCACUGGACUGCAACUGACACUGAGGCUCGAAAGUGUGGGUAUCAAACAGGAUUAGAUACCCCAGUAGUC